UUGUGUUUGAGGUAGGAGAGCAUUGUAGCGGCAUUGAAGAUGUAUUGUAAGAUAUGUUGGAGCUUCUACAAGAGAAUAUGCUAGCAUGAGUAGCGAUAAUGCAGGUGAGAAACCUGCACACCGAAAACCUAAGGUUUCCUGAGUAAAGAUAAUCUUCUCAGGGUUAGUCGACCCCUAAGGUGAGUCCGGGUUAACCGGGGUAGCUGAUGGGAAUCAGGUUAAUAUUCCUGAACCUGUUAUAUUCAGUGAUGGAGUGACGCAGUGGUGAGAUGGAGACACCGACUGGAAGUGGUGUUGA
Molecule: ribosomal RNA, 298 nt
Filed under: Ctenophora environmental sample
Lineage: Eukaryota; Metazoa; Ctenophora
Description: partial Bacterial large subunit ribosomal RNA
Rfam family: Bacterial large subunit ribosomal RNA
Source: RNAcentral